This is a long non-coding RNA of Manis pentadactyla (Chinese pangolin), 1026 nucleotides long. RefSeq lists it as uncharacterized. The transcript is spliced from 4 exons. The record is from RefSeq and is a predicted model, not a curated record. NCBI's taxonomy places the organism in Eukaryota, Metazoa, Chordata, Mammalia, Pholidota, Manidae.
GCCUCGAACUCGGAGAGUAGGGACCCACCUGCCACUCCACCUUCUCUGAAUGUCACCCUGCCUGCUGCUGGGACUGCUGCUCCCGCAGCCUCCCUCCCAGCCACAGUGACUCAUGUGCUGCUGAGGUGCUUGGAGAAGUUGGCAGACUUCCUGUGCCUACCAUCUUUCCCAGGGUGCGUUCCCUUCCCCUCUGGGUACAAGAAAGAUGUGACCUCGCUGGCAGUCAUGCGCCACUGAGGUUUGCAGAUAGGCAGCAGAGCUCAGAGAGGAGCCGUUUCUGGCAGGACUUUUCCCAAACCACAGGAAAGCCAGGAUCAAGAUCCCUGGGAGCCCGACAGAAAACGCAGGUGUAUAGUAUAGAUAACCACAUCGGCAGGAAGUAGCCUACCCCCCUUGCCCCCACCCCGGACCCCUCACCCGGAUGCACCAUGUUCCUGCAGGAGUGCCCACAGGAGCCAUCUCAUUCACUCCCCACCACAACCCCGUGCAAUGCCCGUUUUUCCCAAGGAAGGGAAGGUCCAAGAGGCAGAGGGAUGGCACCAAGACAGAGAGGCACAUCCACCUGUCUCCAGCACCUGCCCCACUAUGCAAAGACCACCCAUCCAGGAGGCUGAGAGCUGGGAGCCAGUUCUAGGCCCCCCACUGCCUGGCUGCCCGACUUGAGUACAUCCUACAGGCAGGCCAAAUCCACCCUGAGAGCAACUGCUCCCAGACCCUUCCUGCCCACUGGGCCCCUCUCCUCCUGGUGCCCACCUCCUAAAAGGGUGAAGAGGGUGUGCGAGUGGGAGGACCUGGGGUGUUGUGGUUUAAAAUCACAGCUCUGGAGUCCCCGCUGCGUAGAUGAGAGCCCGGGUUCUGCUGCUUCCUGGCCACAGACGUCGGGGCCAUCCCCUGUGCUGGUCCAGCUUCAAUGUAGUGGAGGUAAAAUGGGAAUAAUGUGCACUACUGGGAAUUAAGUGAAACAGCGUAUGUAAAAACUUAGGACGGCAAACCCUCAGUGAAUAGUCGCUGUCAGCAUCAUCAGUA